RNAcentral lists this ribosomal RNA (492 nucleotides) under uncultured bacterium. RNAcentral describes it as "partial 16S ribosomal RNA". It matches the Rfam family "Bacterial small subunit ribosomal RNA", at positions 29 to 507 of the family's 1533-position model. The record is from RNAcentral.
AGUGAACGCUGGCGGUAGGCCUAACACAUGCAAGUCGAACGGCAGCACAGUAAGAGCUUGCUCUUACGGGUGGCGAGUGGCGGACGGGUGAGGAAUACAUCGGAAUCUACUUUUUCGUGGGGGAUAACGUAGGGAAACUUACGCUAAUACCGCAUACGACCUACGGGUGAAAGCAGGGGAUCUUCGGACCUUGCGCGAUUGAAUGAGCCGAUGUCGGAUUAGCUAGUUGGCGGGGUAAAGGCCCACCAAGGCGACGAUCCGUAGCUGGUCUGAGAGGAUGAUCGGCCACACUGGAACUGAGACACGGUCCAGACUCCUACGGGAGGCAGCAGUGGGGAAUAUUGGACAAUGGGCGCAAGCCUGAUCCAGCCAUACCGCGUGGGUGAAGAAGACCUUCGGGUUGUAAAGCCCUUUUGUUGGGAAAGAAAAGCAGCAGGUUAAUACCCCGCUGUUCUGACGGUACCCAAAGAAUAAGCACCGGCUAACUUCGUG